RNAcentral lists this ribosomal RNA (2802 nucleotides) under Pinus taeda (loblolly pine). Its description in RNAcentral is "eukaryotic LSU rRNA". It matches the Rfam family "Eukaryotic large subunit ribosomal RNA". Lineage: Eukaryota; Viridiplantae; Streptophyta; Pinopsida; Pinales; Pinaceae. The record is from RNAcentral.
ACGACCUCAGCUCAGGCGAGAACACCCAUUGAGUUUAAGCAUAUAAUUAAGUAGAGUAAAAGAAACUUACAAGCAUUCCCCUAGUAGUGGCGAGCGAACCGGGAAGAGCCGAACAUGAAAAUGGGGCAGUAGUGUCACCUGAAUUGUAGUGUGUAGAAGCAUCCUCAGUGGCAAACCUAGGGCAAGUCCCUUGGAAGGGGGUGCCUAAGAGGGUGACAGCCCUGUCGGGCCAGGACCCUACCACAUCAUGAGGUGUUGUCCGCGAGUCAGGUUGUUUCAGAAUGUAACCCUAAUUGGGUGGUAAAUUCCAUCCAAGGCUAAAUACGAGCGAGCAACCAAUAUCAAACAAGUAUUGCAAAGGAAAGAUGAAAAGGAAUUUGAAAGGAGAGUUAAAGAGUGCUUAAAAUUGUUUGGAGGGAAGCAGAUGGAUGUUGUCGAUGCAUCUCGGUCGGAUGUGGAACAGGCUCAAGUUGGUCUGCCACUCGACUUCAGGUGCAAACCAACAUGGGUUGUUGCAUGAUCACAAGCACGGGUGGAUUACUACCUAUUCGUUUUCCAUUGUGGUGGUCGAGGAAUGAAGCGUGCACCCUUGUGGAGGGCCAUGUGCACCUACGCACUCGUUGUGUUGGUUGGCGGACUUUCCAUUCAACCUGUCUUGAAACACGGAGCAAGGAGUCUAACAUGUGUGCGAGUCAGAGGGUUUCAAAAAUUGUGAAGCACAGGGAAGCUGACGGGUGAGAUCCCUCUCUAGGGGGUGCAUCGUUAAUCUACCUUGAGCUUAUGCAAAGGGUUCGAGUGCGAUCACACCUGUUGGGACCCGAAAGAUGGUGAACUAUGCGUGAGCAAGGUGAAGCCAGAGGAAACUUUGGUGGGGGCUCAUAACAAUACUUACAUGAAAAUCGUUCGUCUAUCUUAGGUGUAGGGGCUAAAGACUAAUCAAACCAUCUAGUAGCUAGCUUCCUCUAAGGUUUCCCUUACGAUAGCUAGAGCUCACGUCUGAGUUUUAUUAGGUAAAGGAAAUGAUUAGAUGCAUCAGGGGCAUAAUUCUAUUGACCAAUUCUCCAACUUUAAAUAAGUAAGAGUGUCUGGCUACUCCACUGAGUCAUGUGAUGGAAUUAAGAGCUCUAAGUGGGCCAUUUUUGGUAAGCAAAACUAGCGAUGUGGGAUGAACCGAAAGUCAAGUUACUAUGUCGAAUUGCAAGCUAACCUAGAUCCCACAAAUGGUGUUGGUUGAUUAAGAUAGUAGGACAUUGGUCAUGGAAGUAGAAAUCUGCUAAGGAUUUUGUAACAACUCACAUACCAAAUCAAAUAGCCCCAAAAAUGGAUGGUGCUAAAGUGUGCACCGUAUACUCGACCAUUGGAGCAAUUUCCUUGCUUCAAUGAGUAGGAGGACAAGGGAGUUGUUGAGAAACCUUGGGCGUGAGCUUGGGUGGAUCGGCCCCCAGUGCAGAUCUUGGUGGUAGUAGAAAAUAUUCAAAUGAGAACUUGGAAGACUAAUGUGGGGAAAGGUUCCAUGUGAACAACACUUGGACAUGGGUUAGUCAAUCCUAAGAGAUAAGGAAGCCUUUUAUCAAGGGUGCACUCUACAUAAGCAUCAAAAGGGAAUCAAGUUAAUAUUCUCGAACCUAUACAUGGUGACGGGCGACAAUGUUAGGAAAUAUGGAGACAUCGUAGGGGGCCUCGGGAAGAGUUAUAUUUUAUUUUUAACAACUUUCCACCCUGGAAUUGGUUCACCUAGAGAUAGGGUCCAACAACUGGAAGAGCACCGAACGUCUUGCAGUGCUUGGUGUGCCCUCAGCGGCGCUUGAAAAUCUGGAGGAUUAAGUACUGUUCAUGCCGAGUCAUACUCAUAACCACAUCAGGUCUCUAAGGUGAACAACCUCUAGUUAAUAGAACCACAACCAAGGGAACGGGCUUGGCAGUAUCAGUGGGGAAAGAAGACCUUGUUGAGCUUGACUCUAGUUCGACUAUGUGAAAUGACUUAAGAGGUGUAGAAUAAGUGGGAGCCAUUUUCGGUGCAAGUGAAAUACCACUAAUUUUAAAGUUAUUUUACUUAUUCCAUGGGGCAGAGAGGGGGCACUACCCAUGUUUUUGGCAUUAAGUCAUGUUUCAGCAAGUUGAUCUGGGCAGAAGACAUUGUCAAGUGGGGAGUUUGUUUGGGGUGACACAUCUGUUAAAAGAUAAUGCAAGUGUCCUAAGAUGUGCUCAAUGAGAACAAAAAUAUUGUGUGGAACAAAAGGGUAAAAGAUCAUUUGAUUUUGAUUUUCAAUCCUUUAGAUUUACAAAAUUUGAAACUAAAGGUGUCAGAAAAGUUACCACAGGGAUAACUGGCUUGUGGCAUCCAAGUUCUCAUAGUGACGCUACUUUUUGAUCCUUCGAUGUCAGCUCUUCCUGUCAUUGUGAAGCAGAAUUCAACAAGUGUUGGAUUGUUCACCCACCAAUAGGGAACGUGAGAUGGGUUUAGACCUUUGUGAGACAGGUUAUUUUUACCCUACUCAUGAAUUGCACCACAAUAGUAAUUCAACUUAGUACGAGAGGAACCAUUGAUUCAGACAAUUGGUCAUCACGCUUGUUUGAAAAGCCAGUGGCCCGAAGCUACCAUGUGUUAGAUUAUGACUGAAUGCCUCUAAGUCAGAAUCCAUGCUAGAAGUAGUGAAUGUUAGUCUUCAACUGUAUCUCAACCUGUAGUAGGGGCAUCACUUUUUCACCCCUAGGGGCCCAUGUCAUUUGAAAAUCGUGACUGUGAAGCAUCUCGAUUAGGGCAGCUUUGAAGUUCAAUUCCAAACAAUCAUUGAGAAGAAU